GGUUGUGACUCAGUGGUAGAGUGCUCGCCUAGUAAGGGCAAGGCCCUGGGUUCAAUCCCCAGCACCA
Molecule: transfer RNA, 67 nt
Filed under: Marmota monax (woodchuck)
Lineage: Eukaryota; Metazoa; Chordata; Mammalia; Rodentia; Sciuridae
Description: tRNA.Thr
Source: RNAcentral